RNAcentral lists this ribosomal RNA (599 nucleotides) under Alteromonas marina. Its description in RNAcentral is "bacterial SSU rRNA". It matches the Rfam family "Bacterial small subunit ribosomal RNA", at positions 81 to 682 of the family's 1533-position model. Lineage: Bacteria; Pseudomonadati; Pseudomonadota; Gammaproteobacteria; Alteromonadales; Alteromonadaceae. The record is from RNAcentral.
CACAUCGCUGACGAGUGGCGGACGGGUGAGUAAUGCUUGGGAACUUGCCUUUGCGAGGGGGAUAACAGUUGGAAACGACUGCUAAUACCGCAUAAUGUCUUCGGACCAAACGGGGCUUCGGCUCCGGCGCAAAGAGAGGCCCAAGUGAGAUUAGCUAGUUGGUAAGGUAACGGCUUACCAAGGCGACGAUCUCUAGCUGUUCUGAGAGGAAGAUCAGCCACACUGGGACUGAGACACGGCCCAGACUCCUACGGGAGGCAGCAGUGGGGAAUAUUGCACAAUGGGGGAAACCCUGAUGCAGCCAUGCCGCGUGUGUGAAGAAGGCCUUCGGGUUGUAAAGCACUUUCAGUUGUGAGGAAAAGUUAGUAGUUAAUACCUGCUAGCCGUGACGUUAACAACAGAAGAAGCACCGGCUAACUCCGUGCCAGCAGCCGCGGUAAUACGGAGGGUGCGAGCGUUAAUCGGAAUUACUGGGCGUAAAGCGCACGCAGGCGGUUUGUUAAGCUAGAUGUGAAAGCCCCGGGCUCAACCUGGGAUGGUCAUUUAGAACUGGCAGACUAGAGUCUUGGAGAGGGGAGUGGAAUUCCAGGUGUAGCGGU